GAGUUUGAUCAUGGCUCAGAACGAACGCUGGCGGCGUGCUUAACACAUGCAAGUCGAACGAGAACCAGAGCUUGCUCUGGUGAAAGCGGCGCACGGGUGAGUAACGCGUGGAUAACCUACCCUGGUGUCCGGGAUAACAUCUUGAAAAGGGUGCUAAUACCGGAUAAGCCCACGGGAUCUUCGGAUUCUGCGGGAAAAGGUGGCCUCUAUUUAUAAGCUACCGUAUCAGGAUGGGUCCGCGUACCAUUAGCUAGUUGGUGGUGUAAUGGACCACCAAGGCGACGAUGGUUAGCUGGUCUGAGAGGAUGAUCAGCCACACUGGAACUGAGACACGGUCCAGACUCCUACGGGAGGCAGCAGUGGGGAAUUUUGCGCAAUGGGGGAAACCCUGACGCAGCAACGCCGCGUGAGUGAUGAAGGCUUUCGGGUCGUAAAGCUCUGUCAGUGGGGAAGAAAUGUAGGAGUAUUAAUACCACUUUUACUUGACGGUACCCACAAAGGGAGCACCGGCUAACUCCGUGCCAGCAGCCGCGGUAAUACGGGGGG
RNAcentral lists this ribosomal RNA (546 nucleotides) under uncultured bacterium. RNAcentral's name for it is "bacterial SSU rRNA". It matches the Rfam family "Bacterial small subunit ribosomal RNA", at positions 9 to 532 of the family's 1533-position model. The record is from RNAcentral.